CCUACGGGAGGCAGCAGCAGGGGGUCUUGCGCAAUGGGCGAAAGCCUGACGCAGCGACGCCGCGUGGGGGAAGAAGGCCUUCGGGUUGUAAAGCCCUUUUCUGUGGGACGAUAAUGACGGUACCACAGGAAUAAGCCACGGCUAACUACGUGCCAGCAGCCGCGGUAAUACGUAGGUGGCUAGCGUUAUCCGGAUUCACUGGGCGUAAAGAGCGCGUAGGCGGUGUGCUAAGUUGGACGUGAAAGCCCCCGGCUUAACCGGGGGAGGUCGUCCAAUACUGGUGCACUUGAGGGUGGACGGGGAAAGCGGAAUUCCCGGUGUAGUGGUAAAAUGCGUAGAUAUCGGGAGGAACACCAGUGGCGAAGGCGGCUUUCUAGACCACUCCUGACGCUGAGGCGCGAAAGCGUGGGGAGCGAACGGGAUUAGAUACCCUUGUAGU
This 439-nucleotide ribosomal RNA is filed under the name uncultured bacterium. Its description in RNAcentral is "partial 16S ribosomal RNA". It matches the Rfam family "Bacterial small subunit ribosomal RNA", at positions 338 to 794 of the family's 1533-position model. The record is from RNAcentral.